UAUCAUUUAAUUUAAUAGUUCAUGCAAAAUUUAUAUUUUAAAAAUAUAUAAUCAAUUUAAUAAUUAUAGAAGUUACAUAAUUUAUCUUACUUAAUUGACUUAUCCUAAGUAGUGGUAGUAUUAGCUAGUAAUUUAGUAUUUAGAAUCUUGAAACCUGGGUUCAAUUCCCAUAUUAAUAU
Molecule: non-coding RNA, 179 nt
Organism: Sesbania bispinosa (prickly sesban)
Lineage: Eukaryota; Viridiplantae; Streptophyta; Magnoliopsida; Fabales; Fabaceae
Source: the annotation of a GenBank genome assembly